CAAAUGGUUAUAUUGACUACGUCCAUGUUAGUGCGCUCAUUAAUGCCUUCAUCGAAAUUACGGAUUGCCUCUUAACUGCUCGCCGUUCACGUAUGCCAUCGUUUGUACAUCUCAAUUGUUGGAACCAACAUGGAGUACGUCCAGCAGGAAGAGAGGAAGGAACCAUUCGUCCGCCAGCUCAGGGACAAGCUGCACUAUUCACAGCCCAGUGUAAUGUUCAAUGUAAUUGCAUUUCUGGAUUUUUUAAAACUUAAUGUAUUUGUAUUGAUUUAAAAAUGUACAAAUAAAAGGAUAUGUUUGAUUGAAA
Molecule: non-coding RNA, 307 nt
Organism: Oncorhynchus mykiss (rainbow trout)
Lineage: Eukaryota; Metazoa; Chordata; Actinopteri; Salmoniformes; Salmonidae
Source: RefSeq, a predicted model, not a curated record